This 254-nucleotide ribosomal RNA is filed under the name uncultured bacterium. Its description in RNAcentral is "partial 16S ribosomal RNA". It matches the Rfam family "Bacterial small subunit ribosomal RNA", at positions 524 to 776 of the family's 1533-position model. The record is from RNAcentral.
UACGGAGGGUGCGAGCGUUAAUCGGAAUUACUGGGCGUAAAGCGUGCGUAGACGGUUAUUUUAAGUCGGAUGUGAAAGCCCCGGGCUCAACCUGGGAAUUGCAUUCGAGACUGAAUAGCUAGGGUACGGUAGAGGGAAGUGGAAUUUCCGGUGUAGCGGUGAAAUGCGUAGAUAUCGGAAGGAACAUCAGUGGCGAAAGCGACUUCCUGGACCAGUACCGACGUUCAGGCACGAAAGCGUGGGGAGCAAACAGG